RNAcentral lists this long non-coding RNA (2294 nucleotides) under Mus musculus (house mouse). RNAcentral describes it as "RIKEN cDNA 2310020H05 gene". The record is from RNAcentral. Lineage: Eukaryota; Metazoa; Chordata; Mammalia; Rodentia; Muridae.
GAGACAGUCAACAACACAAAAGCAUGAGAUGCUCUGCAGCAACAGUUCUCCAGGGCUGAGAUCAAGUCGUGAGUAUAUCAUCUUUCUGUCUCCUCUCUAAUCCAACGCCCGUCAUUCGCACUGACAGAAGUGAACCUUCAGAAUCCAAGAGUCAUUCGCCAGAAAUGUUACAAGAGCAAAGUGUGCGUUUUAUUAUCCCCCAGAAGGUGCAUGCGGGUGCUGGGGAUAAAACCACGCAGCAGAGCCCCUGCUUGGUGUGCACAAGUCCCCGGGCUCAGGCUCCAGGGAAGAAAUGGGGUGUGGGGACAGAAUUUUCUGUUUCUCUGUCUAACAGUAAUUCUGCCUGUCUGCCCCAAGUGAAUGAAGGUAGGAGUCUCUCACUCUGAAAACAAACAAGAACCUUUCCAGAGAGUUUGAUCAUCUUUUAAGAUUCGGUCCACACCAUCAUCCGCCCAUUUUCAGGAGAAGAAAAGUAAAUAAAGGAGGGAUACUUCAGUAAGUGCCUCGCUCAGCUCUGAGGGAGACUGGCGCUCUGCUCAUUUUCCUCUGCUCAGGUUCCGCCCCACCCACUGAUGAGCUGGGAAGCCUCCUGUCUCAGUUAGGUUCUCCUGGAAGCCAUGAACACGCUGGUGUCUUUGCACGUUCUUUCUCUCCUCCCUGACUCCGUCUAAGCAGAUUGAAAACUUAGUUUCUGAGGUGAGUGUGAGGGAUUGCACUGGAUGGAGCGCCGGGCAGCCAGCUGCUCCCUGGGGAGCAGCAACAGCAACUCCACCUUCUAUGUACAUAGUGACAUGACUCCAUCUCAAGUUCUCAUCUGUGAGCUAUCCCAGACUCUGUUUUUAAGUAGGGUGUGUAUAUGUGUGUGUGUGUGUGUGGGGUACAUAUAUACAUGUAUACACACCCACAUAUGCAUGUAUGUAUAUAUACACACAUAUAUGUAUGUAUAUGUGCAUAUAUGUAUACAUAUACACAUAUAUAUAAUUUUAAAAAAUAAAACCAUUUGUAUUCUGAUCAUAGUGUAGGAAGUAGGUCUUUGAUGGAACAGGCUCUGAUUUCUCUUACCUGAUCACUGCAUUUAAGUGAGAGAGAGGAAACAGAAUCCCAUUCACAAUACAAAUAAUAGAGAAAAGCAGAAAUCAAUAUGUUUCCUAAUCCAAACCAGAAAGCUGUUGUAGCUCUGCACCAUUUCCAAAGACUGUUAGCCCACAGGCAGACACCUGCUCUGGAAUGAAAAUCUGUGCAGCCUGAGGCUGCUUCUGCUAAACCCCCUCUGUCCUGAAGGCUCAAACGUCAGGAGUAAAGUGGGCCGACAGUGACUGACUAAUUGGAAUACUUUGAUCUGGUCACAUGUUAAUUUAAGAAUAAAAAUAUAGCUUUAAGCCAGGCGUGGUGGUGCGCACGCCUUUAAUCCCAGCACUCAGGAGGCAGAGGCAGGAGGAUUUCUGAGUUCAAGGCCAGCCUGGUCUACAAAGUGAGUUCCAGGACAGCCAGGGCUAUACAGAGAAACCCUGUCUCGAAAAAACAAAACAAAACAAAACAAAAAUAGCUUCAAUCAGUUCCUCUCCAAUACUGAGGAGUUACGACAAUGGCUACUUGGCCAACAUUUAGAGUUGGUAAUUAUGUUUUAUAAACACUAGGAACUUCUCAAGGUAACCCUAAAUGCAUAACUGAUGAUAUGCAUCCGUUUGCAAAUGAUAUGCAUUAUUUGAAAAGAACCCCAGGGACAACCCACUCUCCCAUUCUUCCACAAGACAUUAUUUACCAGCAAACUUCAAAGAAUCCCACAGAGAUUUUCAAUUAUAUUUAUUAUUAGCUCUGCAAUCAGCAAGCUGAUUAUGUAAAGCAAAGGCAGUUAACUUGGAUGGCUCAGGGACCAGCAUCAGGUUUCAAAGUGACACGUGGCUCUUGCAGAAGAUCACAGACAUUGGGAAGAUAGCCAUCCCUCUUUUGUUUUGUUUUGGGUUAUUUCGACUCUAUCAAUGGAUUCUCCUGUUCCAGACACUGCUGUCUUUACCCGAAGGUUAAAAAACUUUUUUUUCAAACAAAAAUAUUUUAGGUGUUUUUAUUUUAAUAACACUUCAAGAGGUGGCUGAAGAGAUGACUCAGAGCAAUUAAUGCUCCUGCAGAGGUCUCAGUUUGUUUCCCAGCAACCAAAUGUCAACUCAGAACCUUCUGUGCCUUCAACUCCAGGGGGUCUGACACUGUCAUCUUGCUUUCUCACACUGGGCGUGGUGCUCAUACAAGCAUGCAGACAAACACUCAUAUACAUAAAAUAAAAAUCGUUUAAGACAAAA